AGAAACUUAGGAUGACCAUAAACCGAAGGCCUUCAAAGCCUUAAACAAGAGUUAAACCCUCUUAGU
RNAcentral lists this transfer RNA (66 nucleotides) under Pelecanus crispus (Dalmatian pelican). It matches the Rfam family "tRNA". Rfam says of the family: Transfer RNA (tRNA) molecules are approximately 80 nucleotides in length. Their secondary structure includes four short double-helical elements and three loops (D, anti-codon, and T loops). Further hydrogen bonds mediate the characteristic L-shaped molecular structure. tRNAs have two regions of fundamental functional importance: the anti-codon, which is responsible for specific mRNA codon recognition, and the 3' end, to which the tRNAs corresponding amino acid is attached (by aminoacyl-tRNA synthetases). tRNAs cope with the degeneracy of the genetic code in two manners: having more than one tRNA (with a specific anti-codon) for a particular amino acid; and 'wobble' base-pairing, i.e. permitting non-standard base-pairing at the 3rd anti-codon position. The record is from Rfam by way of RNAcentral. Lineage: Eukaryota; Metazoa; Chordata; Aves; Pelecaniformes; Pelecanidae.